AGAGUUUGAUCCUGGCUCAGGAUGAACGCUGGCGGCGUGCUUAACACAUGCAAGUCGAGCGAAGCACUUUUUAGAACUCUUCGGAGGGAAGAGAGGGUGACUUAGCGGCGGACGGGUGAGUAACGCGUGGGCAACCUGCCUUACACAGGGGGAUAACAAUUAGAAAUGAUUGCUAAUACCGCAUAAGACCACGGUACUGCAUGGUACAGUGGUAAAAACUGAGGUGGUGUAAGAUGGGCCCGCGUCUGAUUAGGUAGUUGGUGGGGUAGAAGCCUACCAAGCCGACGAUCAGUAGCCGACCUGAGAGGGCGACCGGCCACAUUGGGACUGAGACACGGCCCAAACUCCUACGGGAGGCAGCAGUGGGGAAUAUUGCACAAUGGGGGAAACCCUGAUGCAGCGACGCCGCGUGAGUGAGGAAGUAUUUCGGUAUGUAAAGCUCUAUCAGCAGGGAAGAAAAUGACGGUACCUGACUAAGAAGCCCCGGCUAACUACGUG
This 498-nucleotide ribosomal RNA is filed under the name uncultured Lachnospiraceae bacterium. Its description in RNAcentral is "bacterial SSU rRNA". It matches the Rfam family "Bacterial small subunit ribosomal RNA", at positions 8 to 507 of the family's 1533-position model. Lineage: Bacteria; Bacillati; Bacillota; Clostridia; Lachnospirales; Lachnospiraceae. The record is from RNAcentral.